This 510-nucleotide ribosomal RNA is filed under the name Clostridium perfringens. RNAcentral's name for it is "partial 23S ribosomal RNA". It matches the Rfam family "Bacterial large subunit ribosomal RNA", at positions 1620 to 2141 of the family's 2925-position model. The record is from RNAcentral. Lineage: Bacteria; Bacillati; Bacillota; Clostridia; Eubacteriales; Clostridiaceae.
CGUCUAGAGAGAGAAGUAGUGCCCGUACCGCAAACCGACACAGGUAGGUGAGGAGAGAAUCCUAAGGCCGGCGGAAGAAUUACAGUUAAGGAACUCGGCAAAUUGACCCCGUAAGUUCGCGAGAAGGGGUGCCUACGAGAGUAGGCCGCAGAGAAUAGGCCCAAGCAACUGUUUAGCAAAAACACAGGUCUCUGCUAAAGCGUAAGCUGAUGUAUAGGGGCUGACGCCUGCCCGGUGCUGGAAGGUUAAGGGGAACACUUAGCGCAAGCGAAGGUGUGAACUUAAGCCCCAGUAAACGGCGGCCGUAACUAUAACGGUCCUAAGGUAGCGAAAUUCCUUGUCAGGUAAGUUCUGACCCGCACGAAUGGCGUAAUGACUUGGGCACUGUCUCAACUGUAAAUCCGGCGAAGUUGUAGUGCGAGUGAAGAUGCUCGCUACCCGCGAUUGGACGGAAAGACCCCGUAGAGCUUUACUGUAGCUUAGCAUUGAGUUUUGGUAUUGUCUGUACAG